This is a non-coding RNA of Cyanistes caeruleus (blue tit), 248 nucleotides long. NCBI's taxonomy places the organism in Eukaryota, Metazoa, Chordata, Aves, Passeriformes, Paridae. The record is from RefSeq and is a predicted model, not a curated record.
UGCCGGUGUUGCCAGCUCGGGCACCGCUGCUCUCGUGUCCAUCAUCCGUGUGUCACACCGACUCGGGCAGCCUGUUACCGGAGCUCCCUGUUUGUGGUGUGGGGGUUAAUUAAUAACCUGCUGCUGAACCGAGGCUCCCGCAUCAGCUCCCAAUUAAUGAAUUAACUAAUCUCCCGAGGGAGGCGAGGAGCGAUUUCUGAUCCUGCUCCAGAGCAUUGCUGAAAAGGACAACAACUUGGUGCCCAUAG